This is a long non-coding RNA of Amblyraja radiata (thorny skate), 82 nucleotides long. RefSeq lists it as uncharacterized. The record is from RefSeq and is a predicted model, not a curated record. Lineage: Eukaryota; Metazoa; Chordata; Chondrichthyes; Rajiformes; Rajidae. The transcript is spliced from 3 exons.
UGACUGCAGAAGGAGCAGUUGCUGCAAAUCUGUCUGGAGCUGACACAAUUCCCUCUGAUUCUGUCUUGCCUCAACCACAAAG